ACCAAGGCAAUGAUGGGUAAGAAGGCAGUGAAAUUGUGCAGCGAGCCGGGGUAUGGUGCAAGCCCGGUACAAGGAAACCGCCAGGCCGACCCGGAGUGCAAGCCGAAUUUUUAGUAAGCUUUGCCGGUUCUUCGCCGUUAUCGAAGUCUAAGUGGGUUGUCGGUGCACAGGCAACCAAUUAGGGUGGUACCACGGGUAAUACAACCUCGUCCCUUUC
Molecule: non-coding RNA, 217 nt
Filed under: Desulforamulus ferrireducens
Lineage: Bacteria; Bacillati; Bacillota; Clostridia; Eubacteriales; Peptococcaceae
Description: Desulfotomaculum ferrireducens T-box sequence
Rfam family: T-box leader
About the family: Uncharged tRNA acts as the effector for transcription antitermination of genes in the T-box leader family. T-boxes are found upstream of many aminoacyl-tRNA synthetase genes and some amino acid biosynthetic genes usually in Gram-positive bacteria.
Source: RNAcentral